GCCAGCAUGGUGGCGCGUGCCUGCAGUCCCAGCUACUCGGGAGGCUGAGGCUGGAGGAUCGCUUGAGCCCAGGAGUUCUGGGCUGUAGUGCGCUAUGCAGCUUGGGUGUCUGCACUAAGUUUGGCAUCAAUAUGGUGACCUCCCGGGAGCGGGGGCCCACCAGGUUGCCUAAGGAGGGGUGAACCGGCCCAGAUCGGAAAUGGAGCAGGUCAAAACUCCCGUGCUAAUCAGUAGUGGGAUUGCGCCUGUCAGUAGCCACUGCACUCCAGCCUGGGCAACAUAGCGAGACCCCGUCUCU
RNAcentral lists this signal recognition particle RNA (298 nucleotides) under Saimiri boliviensis boliviensis (Bolivian squirrel monkey). RNAcentral's name for it is "Metazoan signal recognition particle RNA (ENSSBOG00000000345.1)". It matches the Rfam family "Metazoan signal recognition particle RNA". From Rfam's summary of the family: The signal recognition particle (SRP) is a universally conserved ribonucleoprotein. Lineage: Eukaryota; Metazoa; Chordata; Mammalia; Primates; Cebidae. The record is from RNAcentral.